CCUACGGGGCGCUGCAGUAGGGAAUAUUGCUCAAUGGGGGAAACCCUGAAGCAGCAACGCCGCGUGGAGGAUGAAGGUUUUCGGAUUGUAAACUCCUUUUGUUAGAGAAGAUAAUGACGGUAUCUAACGAAUAAGCACCGGCUAACUCCGUGCCAGCAGCCGCGGUAAUACGGAGGGUGCAAGCGUUACUCGGAAUCACUGGGCGUAAGGAGCGCGUAGGCGGGAUAGCAAGUCAGAUGUGAAAUCCUAUGGCUUAACCAUAGAACUGCAUUUGAAACUGUUAUUCUAGAGUAUGGGAGAGGUAGGUGGAAUUCUUGGUGUAGGGGUAAAAUCCGUAGAGAUCAAGAGGAAUACUCAUUGCGAAGGCGACCUGCUAGAACAUAACUGACGCUGAUGCGCGAAAGCGUGGGGAGCAAACAGGAUUAGAUACCCGAGUAGUC
This 440-nucleotide ribosomal RNA is filed under the name uncultured bacterium. Its description in RNAcentral is "partial 16S ribosomal RNA". It matches the Rfam family "Bacterial small subunit ribosomal RNA", at positions 338 to 795 of the family's 1533-position model. The record is from RNAcentral.